RNAcentral lists this unclassified non-coding RNA (307 nucleotides) under plant metagenome. RNAcentral's name for it is "partial contains 5.8S ribosomal RNA, internal transcribed spacer 2, and large subunit ribosomal RNA". The stretch from base 1 to 105 matches the Rfam family "5.8S ribosomal RNA", at positions 50 to 154 of the family's 154-position model. The record is from RNAcentral.
GAAAUGCGAUAAGUAAUGUGAAUUGCAGAAUUCAGUGAAUCAUCGAAUCUUUGAACGCACAUUGCGCCCGCCAGCACUCUGGCGGGCAUGCCUGUUCGAGCGUCAUUUCAACCCUCAGAACCCCUUGCGGGAUCUGGCGUUGGGGAUUGGCAUCCAGCCAGCCCCGAAAUCUAGUGGCGGUCCCUCCGCGACCUCCCCUGUGCAGUAGCGAUACCUCGCAGCGGGACAGCGGUCUGACCACGCCGUAAAACCCCCAACUUCCCAAGGUUGACCUCGAAUCAGGUAGGAAUACCCGCUGAAGUUAAGC